GACGAACGCUGGCGGCGUGCUUAAUACAUGCAAGUCGAACGGAAAGGCCCUGCUUUUGUGGGGCGCUCGAUUGGCGAACGGGGGAGUAACACGUGAGUAACCUGCCCUUGACUUUGGGAUAACUUCAGGGAACUGGGGCUAAUACCGGAUAGGAUCUCUUGCUGCAUGUUGUGGGUUGGAGAGUUUCGGCGGUUGGGGCUGGACUCGCGGCUUAUCAGCUUGUUGGUCGGGUAGUGGCUUACCAGGGCUUUGACGGGUAGCCGGCCUGAGAGGGUGAACGGCGACAAGGGUACUAAGGUAGGGAGCAGACGCGUACCGGAGGCAGUAGUCGGAAGUAUUACAGAGUGACGGGGAGCGAGUGGCGGAAGCGCCCCGUGCGUGAUACUCGGUUUUGAGUUGAGAACCGCUUUGUCAGGAAAUGAAGCGUGAGUGACGGUAAUGAGUAAAAAAGCACCGGCUAACUACGUG
Molecule: ribosomal RNA, 468 nt
Filed under: uncultured bacterium
Lineage: Bacteria
Description: partial 16S ribosomal RNA
Rfam family: Bacterial small subunit ribosomal RNA
Source: RNAcentral